GAUGAACGCUGGCGGCGUGCCUAACACAUGCAAGUCGAGCGAAGCACUUACUUUAGAUUUCUUCGGAAUGACGAAGUUUGUGGCUGAGCGGCGGACGGGUGAGUAACGCGUGGGCAACCUGCCCUGUACAGGGGGAUAACAGUUAGAAAUGACUGCUAAUACCGCAUAAGCCCACAGCUUCGCAUGAAGCAGUGGGAAAAACUCCGGUGGUACAGGAUGGGCCCGCGUCUGAUUAGCUAGUUGGUAAGGUAACGGCUUACCAAGGCGACGAUCAGUAGCCGACCUGAGAGGGUGACCGGCCACAUUGGGACUGAGACACGGCCCAAACUCCUACGGGAGGCAGCAGUGGGGAAUAUUGCACAAUGGGGGAAACCCUGAUGCAGCGACGCCGCGUGAGCGAUGAAGUAUUUCGGUAUGUAAAGCUCUAUCAGCAGGGAAGAAAGUGACGGUACCUGACUAAGAAGCCCCGGCUAACUACGUG
This 481-nucleotide ribosomal RNA is filed under the name uncultured bacterium. RNAcentral's name for it is "partial 16S ribosomal RNA". It matches the Rfam family "Bacterial small subunit ribosomal RNA", at positions 28 to 507 of the family's 1533-position model. The record is from RNAcentral.